UACGAAGGGGGCUAGCGUUGCCCGGAAUUACUGGGCGUAAAGGGCGCGUAGGCGGAUAGCUAAGUCAGAGGUGAAAGCCCAGGGCUCAACCUUGGAAUUGCCUUUGAUACUGGCUGUCUUGAGUAUGGGAGAGGUGUGUGGAAAUCCGAGUGUAGAGGUGAAAUUCGUAGAUAUUCGGAAGAACACCAGUGGCGAAGGCGGGUCUCUGGACAGUUCCUGACGCUGAGGCACGAAGGUCAGGGGAGCAAACGGG
Molecule: ribosomal RNA, 253 nt
Filed under: uncultured bacterium
Lineage: Bacteria
Description: partial 16S ribosomal RNA
Rfam family: Bacterial small subunit ribosomal RNA
Source: RNAcentral